Portunus trituberculatus (swimming crab) is the source of this 1146-nucleotide long non-coding RNA. RefSeq lists it as uncharacterized. Lineage: Eukaryota; Metazoa; Arthropoda; Malacostraca; Decapoda; Portunidae. The record is from RefSeq and is a predicted model, not a curated record. The transcript is spliced from 3 exons.
UCCCCUCUUCCCUCGCACCUCCCCCCCCCCCCCACGUGCCACCUAGCGAGUGACGAGUGUACACACAUGAAGGUCUGCCUAGCCUUUGUGGUGCCUGAGGCCAGGAGGUGACACCCCUGCAGAGGCUCAACACGCACUGGACUGAUGGAUGGCUUGGUGAGCUGCAUGGCCUCAGCUGAUGUGUAAUGGGGAAUCCAAUCUGAGACUGUUCCAAGCUGGUAAGAAUAUAAAAAUGCAGACAUGAUGCACAUUUCAUACCAGCAAUGAAGAGAGCAACACCAGCAGAUGGUACCAAUAGAAUUUGGUGAACAUUGGUCAGCCCUUCAAUUCUAGAUCGAGAUUUCAGGUUCCCAGCAUCAUCCACAAUAAAGGAGAAGAGACCCUCUGCAGCACCAAUCACAGCUGUCUGCAAUCACCAGGCAGAUGCAUCACUAUUACCAAAUAAACAAUCUAUUAUAUUUAGGGAAAUUUAGGUAUUUUCUGCUAUAUCAUUUUAUCCAAGAGAUUGAUGUAAGAAAAGACAUGUAAUAUCAAACACAUGAAGACACAAGCCAGCAAUUAAUUCACUGGCACUUACUGCCUGGCCAAGGAAAACUAUAGUGUUGACAUCCAAAGUGCUGGGCUGGUCUAGGGUCAGCAGACAGUCAGCCUGGAUGUACUCUUCAUCAGCACCACCACUGCCUUCUCCCUUGGAAAGCUGAUGACCAGAUCAUGGCAGUUUAGAUUCAGAUAUUUUUGUAUUGCCAAAUCAUCAAAUUAGAAAAUAAAAUAAACACUAUGGAACACACUAAGAAGAGCAGUGCUGUAAAUGGUAAGAGCCUUUCCUUUCCUACAGAGGUGUUCCCUUACCUGAGCCACCACACUCUCCAGUGCAGUCACCCAGUUCUGCUUCUCUUCAAAGUUGGUGGUCAUGAGGUACAGCAUGUCUGAGGACCCCCCAGCAGUCUUGGCACGGAUCUCAACCUGGAAACACAAUAAGUAAUUAACUAUCUGAACUGAAUAUGAAAAAUUUACUAAGUGUCUUCAUGUCUUAAGGAUCUUCACAUACCUUUACUAAAGAUGAGAAAACAGCACAGAAGACAUUAAUCUCACACAAUUCAAUGUUCUAUAAACAAGUGAAUCUAAUACAGAGUAGUAACUGUUGUA